RNAcentral lists this ribosomal RNA (234 nucleotides) under uncultured bacterium. RNAcentral's name for it is "partial small subunit ribosomal RNA". It matches the Rfam family "Bacterial small subunit ribosomal RNA", at positions 26 to 288 of the family's 1533-position model. The record is from RNAcentral.
AGAGCGAACGCUGGCGGCAGGCUUAACACAUGCAAGUCGAACGGACUCUUCGGAGUUAGUGGCGGACGGGUGAGUAACGCGUGGGAACGUGCCUUUAGGUUCGGAACAACACAGGGAAACUUGUGCUAAUACCGGAUAAGCCUUUCGAGGGAAAGAUUUAUCGCCUUUAGAGCGGCCCGCGUCUGAUUAGCUAGUUGGUGAGGUAAAGGCUCACCAAGGCUACGAUCAGUAGCU